UACGUAGGGUGCGAGCGUUGUCCGGAUUUAUUGGGCGUAAAGAGCUCGUAGGCGGUUUGUCGCGUCGGCCGUGAAAUCUCCACGCUUAACGUGGAGCGUGCGGUCGAUACGGGCAGACUUGAGUUCGGUAGGGGAGACUGGAAUUCCUGGUGUAGCGGUGAAAUGCGCAGAUAUCAGGAGGAACACCGAUGGCGAAGGCAGGUCUCUGGGCAUUAACUGACGCUGAGGAGCGAAAGCAUGGGGAGCGAACAGG
Molecule: ribosomal RNA, 253 nt
Filed under: uncultured bacterium
Lineage: Bacteria
Description: partial 16S ribosomal RNA
Rfam family: Bacterial small subunit ribosomal RNA
Source: RNAcentral